RNAcentral lists this signal recognition particle RNA (300 nucleotides) under Callithrix jacchus (white-tufted-ear marmoset). RNAcentral's name for it is "Metazoan signal recognition particle RNA (ENSCJAG00000082621.1)". It matches the Rfam family "Metazoan signal recognition particle RNA". From Rfam's summary of the family: The signal recognition particle (SRP) is a universally conserved ribonucleoprotein. Lineage: Eukaryota; Metazoa; Chordata; Mammalia; Primates; Cebidae. The record is from Rfam by way of RNAcentral.
GCUGGGCGGGGUGGCGCCUGCCUGUAGUCCCAGCUACUCGGGAGGCUGAGGUGGAAGGAUUGCUUGAGCCCAGGAGUUCAGGGCUGCAGUGCGCUAGGCCAAUCGGGUGUCCGCACUAAGUUCAGCAUCAAUAUGGUGACCUCCCGGGAGCGGAGGACCACCAGGUUGCCUAAGGAGGGGUGAACCGGCCCAAGUCGGAAAUGAAGCAGGUCAGAACUCCCAAGUUAAUCAGUAGUGGGAUGGCGCCUGUGAAUAGCCACUGCACUCCAGCCUGGGCAACAUAGCAAGACCCCAUCUCUU